This 434-nucleotide long non-coding RNA is filed under the name Mytilus galloprovincialis (Mediterranean mussel). Lineage: Eukaryota; Metazoa; Mollusca; Bivalvia; Mytilida; Mytilidae. The record is from RNAcentral.
UCAGAUAAAAUAUACGGGCUUGGAUUAUAAUCACUUAAGUUCAUUUGGCAGAAUGUUAAUCAUCAUUUGUUCUAUGUCAAAUAUAUAGAAUGGGAUCCUGUGACUGGUUUCACUUUCUAACCUUUAUACUGUUAACUUAAGACCAUUUUUCUCUCAAAAUUCCAAGAGAUGAACUAUAUCCAGUUUUCAACAAGAUUAAUGUUAAUUCAGAAAUUUCUGUAUUAUUGCGAUUGCUGAACCGUGACCAAUGAACAAGAUCCAUCCAAUAAAAUUUCACUUUUUAAGGAAAUGCUCCACACAAACAAUACUUUUCAAAAGGGAAUUUCAAUUUCUCAAUUAUUGAUUAGAUAGCAAGUUUCAUAGAUCUUUGUUCUAUUUGCAGUCAAUGGUAGUGAGAAAUCUACAAGUAUCUUUCAAGCAAAUAUCAAUCUAUU